AGCCCAGAGCCUGAAUCAGUGUGUGUGUUAGUGGAAGCGUCUGGAAAGGCGCGCGAUACAGGGUGACAGCCCCGUACACAAAAAUGCACAUACUGUGAGCUCGAUGAGUAGGGCGGGACACGUGGUAUCCUGUCUGAAUAUGGGGGGACCAUCCUCCAAGGCUAAAUACUCCUGACUGACCGAUAGUGAACCAGUACCGUGAGGGAAAGGCGAAAAGAACCCCGGCGAGGGGAGUGAAAAAGAACCUGAAACCGUGUACGUACAAGCAGUGGGAGCCUCUUAAUGGGGUGACUGCGUACCUUUUGUAUAAUGGGUCAGCGACUUAUAUUCUGUAGCAAGGUUAACCGAAUAGGGGAGCCGAAGGGAAACCGAGUCUUAACUGGGCGUUAAGUUGCAGGGUAUAGACCCGAAACCCGGUGAUCUAGCCAUGGGCAGGUUGAAGGUUGGGUAACACUAACUGGAGGACCGAACCGACUAAUGUUGAAAAAUUAGCGGAUGACUUGUGGCUGGGGGUGAAAGGCCAAUCAAACCGGGAGAUAGCUGGUUCUCCCCGAAAGCUAUUUAGGUAGCGCCUCGUGAAUUCAUCUCCGGGGGUAGAGCACUGUUUCGGCAAGGGGGUCAUCCCGACUUACCAACCCGAUGCAAACUGCGAAUACCGGAGAAUGUUAUCACGGGAGACACACGGCGGGUGCUAACGUCCGUCGUGAAGAGGGAAACAACCCAGACCGCCAGCUAAGGUCCCAAAGUCAUGGUUAAGUGGGAAACGAUGUGGGAAGGCCCAGACAGCCAGGAUGUUGGCUUAGAAGCAGCCAUCAUUUAAAGAAAGCGUAAUAGCUCACUGGUCGAGUCGGCCUGCGCGGAAGAUGUAACGGGGCUAAACCAUGCACCGAAGCUGCGGCAGCGACACUAUGUGUUGUUGGGUAGGGGAGCGUUCUGUAAGCCUGUGAAGGUGUACUGUGAGGUAUGCUGGAGGUAUCAGAAGUGCGAAUGCUGACAUAAGUAACGAUAAAGCGGGUGAAAAGCCCGCUCGCCGGAAGACCAAGGGUUCCUGUCCAACGUUAAUCGGGGCAGGGUGAGUCGACCCCUAAGGCGAGGCCGAAAGGCGUAGUCGAUGGGAAACAGGUUAAUAUUCCUGUACUUGGUGUUACUGCGAAGGGGGGACGGAGAAGGCUAUGUUGGCCGGGCGACGGUUGUCCCGGUUUAAGCGUGUAGGCUGGUUUUCCAGGCAAAUCCGGAAAACUAAGGCUGAGGCGUGAUGACGAGGCACUACGGUGCUGAAGCAACAAAUGCCCUGCUUCCAGGAAAAGCCUCUAAGCAU
RNAcentral lists this ribosomal RNA (1318 nucleotides) under Escherichia coli. Its description in RNAcentral is "partial 23S ribosomal RNA". It matches the Rfam family "Bacterial large subunit ribosomal RNA", at positions 296 to 1629 of the family's 2925-position model. The record is from RNAcentral. Lineage: Bacteria; Pseudomonadati; Pseudomonadota; Gammaproteobacteria; Enterobacterales; Enterobacteriaceae.